CCCUUAGAUGUUCUGGGCCGCACGCGCGCUACACUGAUGCAUUCAACGAGUUUCUUCCUGGUCCGAGAGGAAUGGGUAACCUUUUGAAAGUGCAUCGUGAUAGGGAUAGACUAUUGCAAUUAUUGGUCUUCAACGAGGAAUUCCUAGUAGACGUAGUUCAUCAGACUGCAUCGAUUACGUCCCUGCCCUUUGUACACACCGCCCGUCGCUCCUACCGAUUGAAUGCUCAGGUGAGCCAUUCGGACCUUCAUCAUGCCGGUUUCCGGUUUUGAUGAGGGAAAGUCUUGCGAACCUUAUCAUUUAGAGGAAGGAGACGUCGUAACA
RNAcentral lists this ribosomal RNA (324 nucleotides) under uncultured eukaryote. RNAcentral describes it as "partial 18S ribosomal RNA". It matches the Rfam family "Eukaryotic small subunit ribosomal RNA", at positions 1470 to 1796 of the family's 1831-position model. The record is from RNAcentral.